ACAUGCCUACAACAUAGUGUUAAGGCUCUCGAUCCCAUUAGAACUUUGUAGUUAAGUUCUCUUGGGAUAGAGUAGUACUAGGAUGGGUGACCUCCUAGGAAGUCUUAAUGUUUUACAUGCC
Picea glauca (white spruce) is the source of this 121-nucleotide non-coding RNA. The record is from Rfam. NCBI's taxonomy places the organism in Eukaryota, Viridiplantae, Streptophyta, Pinopsida, Pinales, Pinaceae.